This 79-nucleotide transfer RNA is filed under the name Candidatus Hydrogenedentota bacterium. RNAcentral describes it as "tRNA-Pro". It matches the Rfam family "tRNA". Rfam says of the family: Transfer RNA (tRNA) molecules are approximately 80 nucleotides in length. Their secondary structure includes four short double-helical elements and three loops (D, anti-codon, and T loops). Further hydrogen bonds mediate the characteristic L-shaped molecular structure. tRNAs have two regions of fundamental functional importance: the anti-codon, which is responsible for specific mRNA codon recognition, and the 3' end, to which the tRNAs corresponding amino acid is attached (by aminoacyl-tRNA synthetases). tRNAs cope with the degeneracy of the genetic code in two manners: having more than one tRNA (with a specific anti-codon) for a particular amino acid; and 'wobble' base-pairing, i.e. permitting non-standard base-pairing at the 3rd anti-codon position. The record is from RNAcentral. Lineage: Bacteria; Pseudomonadati; Candidatus Hydrogenedentota. RNAcentral also lists the same sequence under 1 other name.
CGGGGCGUGGCCUAGCCCGGUUUAAGGCGCUACACUGGGGGUGUAGAGAUCGGAAGUUCAAAUCUUCUCGCCCCGACCA